AUUCACCACCACCAACCACAAAUUCAAUCACUUGCAAAUUUCUAAGGUAAGGAUUAAACAAAUCGAUCCACCACAACAAUGAGAACAAUUCUAGAAUUCUUCACAAGGAGUCUUGAUGCAGUGAAUUCAGGGCAACAAAAAUAUCAUCAUCAUCGGAACGAUCAAAUCCAAAUUCAGCACGACGAAAAUCCGCAAGAAGCAACAACAGUUAGGAUUUAGCGUUCGGAUUAGCUAGGAGAAAACCUCUCUGAUCACGGCGAUGGAAACUUCAAACGAGAAUCUGGAAAAUCUCAUCCUCUUAUUUUUCUUGUGGCGACGGCGUAAAUUAAGAAUUGAUUUUCCAAUUUGCAUGUUUUAACCGAAAAACUGGAUCUGGAAAAUAAAUCUCAUCCUCUUCCUCUUCUUUUUCUUUUUCUUGUGGUGACGACAUAAAUUAAGAAUUGGGCAUAAACGAGAAUUUGGAAAACCCCC
This 471-nucleotide long non-coding RNA is filed under the name Trifolium pratense (red clover). RNAcentral describes it as "long non-coding RNA (TPRA_LNC000587)". Lineage: Eukaryota; Viridiplantae; Streptophyta; Magnoliopsida; Fabales; Fabaceae. The record is from RNAcentral.